AACGAACGCUGGCGGCAUGCCUAACACAUGCAAGUCGAACGAGACCUUCGGGUCUAGUGGCGCACGGGUGCGUAACGCGUGGGAACCUGCCUUUAGGUUCGGAAUAACUCAGAGAAAUUUGAGCUAAUACCGGAUGAUGUCUUCGGACCAAAGAUUUAUCGCCUUUAGAUGGGCCCGCGUUGGAUUAGCUAGUUGGUGGGGUAAAGGCCUACCAAGGCGACGAUCCAUAGCUGGUCUGAGAGGAUGAUCAGCCACACUGGGACUGAGACGCGGCCCAGACUCCUACGGGAGGCAGCAGUGGGGAAUAUUGGACAAUGGGCGAAAGCCUGAUCCAGCAAUGCCGCGUGAGUGAUGAAGGCCUUAGGGUUGUAAAGCUCUUUUACCCGAGAUGAUAAUGACAGUAUCGGGAGAAUAAGCUCCGGCUAACUCCGUG
This 433-nucleotide ribosomal RNA is filed under the name uncultured bacterium. RNAcentral describes it as "partial 16S ribosomal RNA". It matches the Rfam family "Bacterial small subunit ribosomal RNA", at positions 29 to 507 of the family's 1533-position model. The record is from RNAcentral.